CUAGUAACGGCGAGUGAAGCGGCAACAGCUCAAAUUUGAAAUCUGGCUUCGGCCCGAGUUGUAAUUUGCAGAGGAAGCUUUAGGCGCGGCACCUUCUGAGUCCCCUGGAACGGGGCGCCAUAGAGGGUGAGAGCCCCGUAUAGUUGGAUGCCUAGCCUGUGUAAAGCUCCUUCGACGAGUCGAGUAGUUUGGGAAUGCUGCUCAAAAUGGGAGGUAAAUUUCUUCUAAAGCUAAAUACCGGCCAGAGACCGAUAGCGCACAAGUAGAGUGAUCGAAAGAUGAAAAGCACUUUGAAAAGAGGGUUAAAUAGCACGUGAAAUUGUUGAAAGGGAAGCGCUUGUGACCAGACUUGCGCCGGGCGGAUCAUCCGGUGUUCUCACCGGUGCACUCCGCCCGGCUCAGGCCAGCAUCGGUUCUCGCGGGGGGAUAAAGGUCCUGGGAACGUAGCUCCUCCGGGAGUGUUAUAGCCCGGGGCGUAAUGCCCUCGCGGGGACCGAGGUUCGCGCAUCUGCAAGGAUGCUGGCGUAAUGGUCAUCAGCGACCCGUCUUGAAACACGGACCCCUGUGUGAAAU
This 573-nucleotide ribosomal RNA is filed under the name Chaetomium globosum. RNAcentral describes it as "eukaryotic LSU rRNA". It matches the Rfam family "Eukaryotic large subunit ribosomal RNA", at positions 80 to 664 of the family's 3401-position model. Lineage: Eukaryota; Fungi; Ascomycota; Sordariomycetes; Sordariales; Chaetomiaceae. The record is from RNAcentral.